GUAUUUUAAAGCUACCUAGUAGGUAUAUAAAAGUGUAAAUUGGCGACAGAUGUUACUUCUGCUAAAGAUUAAAUAAAAAUAUGUUUUCCAAAUCCAUAAAAUUUGGAUUCACGAUUUAGCACACAGCAGCUGCUCCUCAUCACGAUCCGCUCACGCACUCUCACCGCAUACGCAGACAGAAGCAGAAGUAGACGCCAGGCGAGUGGCGAUGGCGAUGGCGAUGGCGAGUGCAGCCUGACACAAAUUCCCUUUCAACUUGCAUAACAAGCUCUCAAGCGGGUCGUUUGCCUCCUAAUACCAUUUCCUAUUCCUCCUAUUGCAUCCCCCUUGGUAAUUUUGAAUUCCUCGAAGCAACAGCAACAGCAAAUGAAAUGGUGACAUGUACAACACAGCAAUCCACAAUGGCACACUCCUCUCCACUCUCCACUCCACACUCCUCAUCAGUUGUUGGCAUUAUGAGUGUCAGCCAAAAACAAUGCCUGCCUUCUACGUGGCGUCCAAGCAGCCAUCAACAACAAGCUGCGUGGCAGAGAUGUGGCACAUUCCAUGCUGACAAGUGGUUGUUGGAUGGAGCAUGGGAGCAUGGGAGCAUUGCUACUUACUUGAACUGGCUUGGACCACAAAUACGAAUGCGCCGCCUCUUAAUUGCCGUGCAGCCGGAAGCCACAAAAUUUACUGUAAGAUCUAGAUGCCUCCACAUUGAGUUGUAAAGCUACCCUUAAAAUUUAAACGCAUCUUUGCAGACUUUUUAUUUCCAAGUUUUCCUUAAAGCCAUUUAUUUAUGCGAUUUCUU
Drosophila sulfurigaster albostrigata is the source of this 793-nucleotide long non-coding RNA. RefSeq lists it as uncharacterized. The record is from RefSeq and is a predicted model, not a curated record. NCBI's taxonomy places the organism in Eukaryota, Metazoa, Arthropoda, Insecta, Diptera, Drosophilidae. The transcript is spliced from 3 exons.